GACGAACGCUGGCGGCGUGCCUAAUACAUGCAAGUUGAGCGCUGAAGGUUGGUACUUGUACCAACUGGAUGAGCAGCGAACGGGUGAGUAACGCGUGGGGAAUCUGCCUUUGAGCGGGGGACAACAUUUGGAAACGAAUGCUAAUACCGCAUAAAAACUUUAAACACAAGUUUUAAGUUUGAAAGAUGCAAUUGCAUCACUCAAAGAUGAUCCCGCGUUGUAUUAGCUAGUUGGUGAGGUAAAGGCUCACCAAGGCGAUGAUACAUAGCCGACCUGAGAGGGUGAUCGGCCACAUUGGGACUGGGACACGGCCCAACCUCCUGCGGGAGGCAGCAGUCGGGAAUCUUCGGCAAUGGACGCAAGUCUGACCGAGCAACGCCGCGUGAGUGCAGAAGGUUUUCGGAUCGUAAAACUCUGUUGGUAGAGAAGAACGUUGGUGAGAGUGGAAAGCUCAUCAAGUGACGGUAACUACCCAGAAAGGGACGGCUAACUACGUG
RNAcentral lists this ribosomal RNA (497 nucleotides) under uncultured bacterium. Its description in RNAcentral is "partial 16S ribosomal RNA". It matches the Rfam family "Bacterial small subunit ribosomal RNA", at positions 28 to 507 of the family's 1533-position model. The record is from RNAcentral.